RNAcentral lists this ribosomal RNA (682 nucleotides) under uncultured bacterium. RNAcentral describes it as "bacterial SSU rRNA". It matches the Rfam family "Bacterial small subunit ribosomal RNA", at positions 44 to 717 of the family's 1533-position model. The record is from RNAcentral.
AUGCUUAACACAUGCAAGUCGAACGGCAGCACGAGGAGCUUGCUCCUUGGUGGCGAGUGGCGGACGGGUGAGUAACGCGUAGGAAUCUACCUUAUAGUGGGGGACAACUCGAGGAAACUCGAGCUAAUACCGCAUAUUCUCUUCGGAGGAAAGCAGGGGACCUUAGGGCCUUGUGCUAUUAGAUGAGCCUGCGUCAGAUUAGCUUGUUGGUGGGGUAAAGGCCUACCAAGGCGACGAUCUGUAGCUGGUCUGAGAGGAUGAUCAGCCACACUGGGACUGAGACACGGCCCAGACUCCCACGGGAGGCAGCAGUGGGGAAUAUUGGACAAUGGGCGCAAGCCUGAUCCAGCAAUGUCGCGUGUGUGAAGAAGGCCCUCGGGUUGUAAAGCACUUUCAGCGGGGAAGAAAAGUUCAAGGUUAAUAACCUUGGGCCAUGACAUUACCCGCAGAAGAAGCACUGGCUAACUCUGUGCCAGCAGCCGCGGUAAUACAGAGAGUGCGAGCGUUAAUCGGAAUUACUGGGCGUAAAGCGCGCGUAGGUGGAUAUUUAAGUCGGAUGUGAAAGCCCUGAGCUCAACUUGGGAACUGCAUCCGAUACUGGGUAUCUAGAGUAUGGUAGAGGGAAGUGGAAUUUCCGGUGUAGCGGUGAAAUGCGUAGAUAUCGGAAGGAACACCAGUGGAA